AUGCUGACAGUAACGUGUAAUUGUACCUUUCUUUUCAGAUUUCUGGAUGUUGGCGUGAGAAAACAAAAAACCAGAGCAGCAGUCACCAGCGCCCGGCUUACUGGGGCCGUGCUGACCAGCUCAAAGGAGGGGCACGUCCCAGUUACCCACAUGCAAGGAGGUUGUCAAACAGAGAAAUCACUGCAGACUGUUGGUACACAGACAUCUGCUGCCCAGCUCAGGAGUUUAAGUUUCUACAUUUGUAUGUAGUACCUUGAUGAGGUGAUGGUGAGGACAGCCACAGCUUACAUCUGGUAGAGGACUGCUUCCGCUCAAAGUCUUUCAAAUAGUGAUGAGAACAAGGAUCACCACAUAUCCCUGGUCAUCUGUCUACAACUAUAUAGUAUUUAGCUAUACUUGUAUGAAACACUUUCAGCUAUUUCUUGAGAAAUUAAUAUAGCAUCAGAGCAUUUAACAAUAUAUGCAAAUAUGCAACACAAUUCAUUAUGGGUAAUGCAUUGUGCUGUAAAUAACAUAACAGAAACUGAAGUGAAAAGAAGUGACCCUUGCAAUGAUUGAUUAAUGGUCGUGUAUUAGAAUUUUUAUAUUUACAUCAGUGCUUUUCCUGCUUUCAAGUUGAGGAAAGUUGAAAAAGAUCCCAGAAAGAUUCAGAUGAAACUGAAAAGGUUAAUUUGAUAAAAUAUCGCUGUAUCGAAACAGCUAAAUAGUUUUGAGUCCAAGAGCAGAAAAAAAGCUAAAAGUUAGGUAAACAUUUAUAACAGCUGACAGUAGCUGCAGAGGAAAUAGUUGAAUUUUAAAUUUGUAGCAUUGGAGGAAGCAUGUGUACAUAAUUGCUAAACAGUAAAAUAGUCUCAUUAAUUAAUCACAAUUAACCUGUCAAAUGCGGAAAAAAGUGCUAUUUAGGCUAAAGAUUUAAAUUGGUGCUUUUAUUAUGAAAGGAUAUGAAGGAAGUGUGUGUGCCUAAUUACUAAACUAUAAAAUAGUCUAAUUAAGUAGUCCUAUUUAAAGAGCCAAAUCCAGAAAUCUUGCUGUGAAAAUAAUAGUUUUAGACUGGUGCUUUUAUUUUGAAAGGGAUGUGUGUGGGCAAUUGAUAAAACUGUAAGAUAGUCUUAUUGUUUAGCUAAAAUAAACAAAAUGAAUAAAUAACAAAGCUAAGAAAUUGCUAAAAUGUAAAUCAGUAUUAUUAACUACUCAUAAUAAACCACUUGAAAACAGUAACAUUGCUAUUUUUAGCUAAAUAUCUGGAUUGGUGCUUUUAUUUUUGAAAGGUUGAGGAAGCAUAUGCAAGUAAUUGCUAAACAGUAAAAUAGUCUUAUUAACUAGUCAUAAUAAAUGAGUUGAAAGCAAAAAUAUUGCUUCUUUUUUAGCUAAAGUUUUAGACUGGUGCUUUUAUUUUGGAAGAAUAUGGAGGAAGCAUGCGCAUGUAAUUGCUAAACUGUAACAAAGUCUCAUUACCUAGUCACAAUUACACAUUCAAAAGCAAAAAGGUAGAAAUGGUGCUAUGAAAGCUAAAGAUUUGGACUUGUUGCUUUUAUUUUGAAUGGGUUUCGAGGAGGUGAGUGUAUGCGUAAGACCUAAACUUUAAAAUAAUCUAACUAAACACAAUUAUCUAUUAAAAAGCAUAAAUAGUGCUAAUACGGCUAAAUAUAUAGAUUGGUGCGUUUAUUUUGAAAUGACAUGGACGACAUGUAUAUUGCAAACAAACAAAAAGCUAAAGGUUGCAAUAGUUUAAAAGUAGACCUGAUGCAAAGGUGAAUAUGCUAAUGAAAUGAUCCAUGGAUCAGAGGU
Molecule: long non-coding RNA, 1788 nt
Filed under: Betta splendens (Siamese fighting fish)
Lineage: Eukaryota; Metazoa; Chordata; Actinopteri; Anabantiformes; Osphronemidae
Description: lncRNA (ENSBSLG00000009004.1)
Source: RNAcentral